GGCGGCAUUCAAGUUGUAGUAAUUUAUAAUAUUGUAAUAUAAUUAUUAUUGCAGAUAUACCGCAGAUAAUUGAAGAAAUGCCUUAUAAAAUCAUUAUAAAAGCUAAGUAGUUGGUGUUACUGUCGUGUUUCAUAUAAUUCAUAGUAUACAGAAACUUGAAAUGCCCACUUCAAAGUAUGGUAGUCGACACUACUUCUCAAUUGAGAGUUUGCUUGCUUCGGAGGAAACACUUUCCUGUACAUUCUUCAAAGAAGAAAAUUACGUUGGAUUUCUAGAACCUGGGAACACGACUGAUAGAGUAAAUGCCAACACAACAUUAGAAUUACCAUAUUGGGUUGCCAGUGCUUUUGUAUCCUAUCCUCGACUCGUCGGUAUUGAUUUGCCAAAAGCGUACAAGAAAGCUUAUAGAGAUAUUCUACAGGCGGAUGCCACAGCCGUCGAUUUGAAAUCACUGUGUAGAUAUUAUUAUAUUUUGGGCGAAUAUCUGAUCAAAACAAAGCACCGAGAGUCAGACGAAAUUAAGCGGAUUCUUAUUCAAACCUUUCGUAAGCGAUUCAGAAUGGUAAUGGAUUGGGCCUUGAAUGCAGCUUCCGAACAGACGGUGAAAAAAUUGGACAGAUCUGAAAUGUGUAUCUAUGAAAGCGGUAAAAAAACACAGGAAAUUCUUGAUGGAUGGUUAAAGGAAGGAACAAGUGCAAUUGCUGCUACUGCAAUGAUCACUAGUCACAAGAAAAGGAAAGUUGAGAACACGGAAAUAAUAUAAGUAAAAUAUCGCGGAAUUCUUUGUUUAAUUUAUUGAAAUGUUUUUUAAAAACCUAUUUUAGCUGAAAUUUUGUAUAAGUUGUCAUCGGGUAAAGGUAAAUUUACUGGAACCGCGAACUGUCUCGUCGUUCCUGAAUUUGAAAUAUUGGAAGAUAGGCAAACCAUGUUACAGUUUUGUUUGCAUACUUGUAUAUCAUUAUUUUUUGAGGUUCUAUUCAUAGACGUCGACGUUGAGAACUAUUUUUAUGAAAUUGGUGUUUGUAGGUACUUAAUUGUAUUCUCGAAUAGGUAUAGCAAUUUUGUGAAUGGGAAAACUACAAAUAAACUAUAGAAUAAAAUUAAGCUAGGUGUCAACUUGAAAAUGAUAAAAUUAAAUUUGUAUUUCGCCGGCUUAUUGUUCUAGAAAUGUUAGUCUACGCUUAUAUGAUGUUCAUACUUUAUUUCAAGUACCUAUUUAAAUCAAUAAUAUGUUUUAUUGUAUAACUUUUAAAUGUGAAUUUUUUAAUGGAAUAAUAUUAAACUGAAUUAUAUAAGUGUUCAUUUUCAAUUUUUUUUUUAAAAUUUUGUAUGUAUUUUCAUAUGUAUACGUUUGAUUUUACUUUAAAAAGAAGUAAGCCAAAGUUAGAGCAUGUGAGUUUUUCUUUCUUUUAAUGUAGGUAGUUUUAGUAUAGGAGUAUAGGUACUCGCUGCUGGUUUCAACGAGAAAUCAAACACAAACGUAUUUAGAUUAUCUAAUACCAACAAGUUUCUUUCUGCUUUUUUACGGAUCUCAGUGCUGUUUAAUAUUGAUAGAUGUUCUGUGCCGUGUGCGAUAUUUGAUUAUCAAAUUUACGAAUAGUUGCAUACCUGUUGUGAAUUAAAAAGUCAAGUUAACGGACAUGAAUUUUUUUACUAACCAAGGACGAUGCAGAGUGUGUGGGAAAAUGUUAUGUUGUUCUACUCAUCAAAAAGAACACGAGCGACUUGAACAUAAAGAAUAUGCUUAUUUGCUCGAUAAAUUACCAAUUAUGUGCAAGAAAUGCUGCCGAAAUAUACAUUCCAUCCAUGAUUUACACGCCAGAUGUCAACCAUUUAUGGAUCAUCGUUUCAUGAAUGACAACUUUAGCAACGCUGUCGAGCUUUUAAACAAGCCAAGCCGAAAAAGGGCCUUCAACGAAGCGAAAAAGUCGUACGAUGGUUCUGUACACAUGAAUUCCUUAGAAAACGUACGUAAAAAGUUAGUUCCUGUGUAUAAAUUUAAACAUACUGAAAAUUUAAGAAAACUAACGUCGGAUGCUAAAAGCGAUCAGAAAACAUUGGUUAUAGAGGUGAAUCGUAUACUCGUCGAAUCAAAGCAAUCAGUAUUUUCGCCUCAAUUGAAUGUAUCGUAUAGAAUGUUACUGAGUAGUAUUAUUAAAAGCAGCACGCCUUUGAAUGAAGAAGAGAAACAAACUAUACCGCUCGCCCAAGACGAAACAUCUAGAAAUAUCGAAAAUCUGUGUACUCCGAGUUCAGAAUUUAGCACGUAUGAAAGUCCUGAGACAUUUUCCUCUCCUGUAAUUGUAAUUUCUGCUAAAAAACAUACGCCUCCUGGAAUAAUAUCGAGUUUUUCGAAACGAAUAUCCAAAAAAGUUCUGAAGAAUCGCAGAGUUACUUUUGAAUUAGCCAAAACGACUGAUUCGGAGGGAAAUAUUACGAUCUAUGGUACUCCAACGGCCACGAUGGAAGUGAUAGAAGAAAUUGAUGAACGAGGAGAAUUGGAUUUGACGAUUCCUAAUAGUCCGCCUAGAUGUUUAUUAGUCAAAUUUAUUAAACGAAUGAAGAAUGCGAUACACAGUAUACCUCGAACUAUUACUACCGCAUGGGAUUGGGGCAAUAAAAAAUUCAAAGUGUCGCAGUCAAACGAUGAAGAAUAUGAUUUUGAGAUACGCAGUCCUGUGAAAAAACGUCCGAAAUAUGAUACCACUGAUUCAUUGGUAAGAAAGCCAAUUACAUCUUACUGGGUGAACAUGUCUGUGAAUUCUUUGUUUCGUAAACCAUUGCCCAAUUAUGUUCACAGGUUUUCUAAUAUCGAAGAAAACUAUCAUUUAUGAUUGCAUCUUCGAAAAAUGACAAUAAUUCCAUUGAUGUUUAUGGAAUUGGAUCGUUGUAAAUUUGAUUAGUUUUUAUCAGCGCGUCUGUCUAAGCGAAUUAUAGGCGACGAAUAGAAUUUUUAAAAACAUUUUUUACUUGAGCAAUAGGUACCUACUUGAUGUAAUAAGAUUUUUUAAAAUUAAAUUUUGAUUUGUUUUUGUCAUAUUUGAUUAAUAAAUAAUUUUUUUAGCGUUUAA
This is an RNA transcript of Planococcus citri (citrus mealybug), 3071 nucleotides long. RefSeq lists it as uncharacterized. Lineage: Eukaryota; Metazoa; Arthropoda; Insecta; Hemiptera; Pseudococcidae. The transcript has 5 exons. The record is from RefSeq and is a predicted model, not a curated record.